GGAGGAAAGCAGGGGAUCGUAAGACCUUGCGCUUUUGGAGCGGCCGAUGCCUGAUUAGCUAGUUGGUGGGGUAAUGGCCUACCAAAGCUUCGAUCAGUAGCUGGUCUGAGAGGACGGCCAGCCACACUGGGACUGAGACACGGCCCAGACUCCUACGGGAGGCAGCAGUGGGGAAUUUUGGACAAUGGGCGCAAGCCUGAUCCAGCCAUGCCGCGUGAGUGAAGAAGGCCUUCGGGUUGUAAAGCUCUUUCAGCCGGGAAGAAAAGGUUGCGAUUAAUAAUCGCAAUUUAUGACGGUACCGGAAGAAGAAGCACCGGCUAACUACGUGCCAGCAGCCGCGGUAAUACGUAGGGUGCGAGCGUUAAUCGGAAUUACUGGGCGUAAAGGGUGCGCAGGCGGUUUUGUAAGUCAGAUGUGAAAUCCCCGGGCUUAACCUGGGAACUGCGUUUGAAACUACAAAGCUAG
RNAcentral lists this ribosomal RNA (465 nucleotides) under uncultured bacterium. Its description in RNAcentral is "bacterial SSU rRNA". It matches the Rfam family "Bacterial small subunit ribosomal RNA", at positions 198 to 644 of the family's 1533-position model. The record is from RNAcentral.